AAACAUAAUCGCUAUUCUGGUGUCUUUUAUAAGACUGAAAAGGGAACUUGGUGAAAAACCAAGACUGCCCCCGCAACUGUAAAUGUGGACGAAAUGACAAAACCACUGCAUCGCACAGCCGCUCUUUAAGAGCCGCCAUGAUGCGGGAAGGGUCAAAGUAGGAAGAAGCAUGAGUCAGGAGACCUGCCAGAAUGUCCAGUUUCAA
Molecule: non-coding RNA, 205 nt
Filed under: Domibacillus antri
Lineage: Bacteria; Bacillati; Bacillota; Bacilli; Caryophanales; Bacillaceae
Source: RNAcentral